GGUGCUGGGGCGGGCGCAGGACUGCAGGCUGGGGCUCCGCUCCCCGGCGGGAGCCCGCGCGUGGUUCCCAGCGAAGUCCCCGCGCGGCUGGGCCCAGCGUGAGUAUUCUCCGCCCGCUGUCCUCCCCCUGGAGGCGGCAGCGCCCGUUUAUUUGAGCCGUGUGAAGAUGUGCCUGCUUCGCCUUCCAUCAUGACUGAAGUUUCCUGAGGCCUCCCCAGCUAUGCUCCCUAUACAGCCUGCAGAACGGUCGGCUGCCUCCAAUCCUGAGGUCAUCACUCAUCAAGAGGGGAUAAUCCCAGGGACAGCAGGAUCUGCUUCGUUACUUGGAUUUAGGAGCCAGAAACCCAUCAGGCAACUAAACAGUAACAAUGACCCGCCAUUAAACACACUGAGAGAAGAGCAUGAUGAAGAGUUUGUACAAGAAGAAGCCAGGAGCACUUGCUGACAAUGCUUACAGAGACGCAGGCUUCUAUGAGCUCUGCCUGUUGAACUGCAGUAAAAAUAGAUCUCCUUCCCCAGAGAGGCUUGGAUGUGGGCACAAUAUCAGUUCAGACGAUGGUCAAUGCAUGUACUUAAUAGAGUGAAAAGACUUUGGACUGUGAAGUCAGAUUACCUGGGUCUGAAUUGUUAUUCUUCUACUUCUUUGUAGUAUGCUUUCACCACAUUAAAAAUUGUCUGAGCCUCAA
Molecule: long non-coding RNA, 686 nt
Filed under: Homo sapiens (human)
Lineage: Eukaryota; Metazoa; Chordata; Mammalia; Primates; Hominidae
Description: long independently transcribed non-coding RNA 2609 (LINC02609)
Source: RNAcentral